This 253-nucleotide ribosomal RNA is filed under the name uncultured bacterium. RNAcentral describes it as "partial 16S ribosomal RNA". It matches the Rfam family "Bacterial small subunit ribosomal RNA", at positions 524 to 776 of the family's 1533-position model. The record is from RNAcentral.
UACGUAGGCAGCAAGCGUUGUUCGGAGUUACUGGGCGUAAAGGGUGCGUAGGUGGCUCUAUAAGUAUGGUGUGAAAUCUCCCGGCCUAACUGGGAGGGUGCGCCGUAGACUGUGGGGCUAGAGUGUGGGAGAGGAAAGUGGAAUUCCUGGUGUAGCGGUGAAAUGCGUAGAUAUCAGGAGGAACACCGGUGGCGAAGGCGGAUCUCUGGGCCAUUACUGACGCUGAGGAGCGAAAGCGUGGGGAGCGAACAGG